Molecule: long non-coding RNA, 1575 nt
Organism: Anolis carolinensis (green anole)
Lineage: Eukaryota; Metazoa; Chordata; Lepidosauria; Squamata; Anolidae
Source: Ensembl
AUGGAAGACUGUAAUCCGGGAAACCAGCUUGAAAGCAUCUGGAUAAGAAUCAAGGGAACCGGGACUCAAAAAGAUCUUGUCGUGGGUGUCUACUACAGACCUCCGAGUCAGGAUGAAGGACUUGAUGAAGCCUUCUGUCAACAGCUGACCAAACAGGCACAAAGAAGAGAUAUAGUAGUCAUGGGCGAUUUCAAUUAUCCCGAUAUCUGCUGGAAAACAAACUCAGCCAAGAGUACAAAGUCCAACAAAUUCCUCACUUGCCUUGCAGAUAAUUUUAUGGUCCAGAAGGUAGAAGAGGCAACAAGGGGAUCAGCAACUCUUGAUCUAAUCUUAACAAAUGUGGAAGACCUGAUCAAUACAGUUGAAGUGGUUGGAUCCUUAGGGGCAAGUGACCAUGUGCUCCUGCAGUUUGCAAUACAAAGGAAUGCUGAAACUAAGACAAGUCAAACACGCAUUCUGGACUUUAAGAGAGCUGACUUCCAAAAAAUGAAGGAAUUACUGAGCGGCAUUCCAUGGACGCCGAUAUUAAAAAACAAGGGAGUUAAGGAUGGAUGGGAGUUUUUCAAAAGCGAAAUACUCAAGGCGCAAAUGCAAACAGUGCCAACAAAGAAGAAAAAUAAGACAAGUGCAAAGAAGCCAGAAUGGAUGUCCAAAGAACUUCUAACUGAGCUAAAGCUCAAAAGUGACAUGCACAAGAAGUGGAAAAGGGGAGAAAUCACCAAAGAAGAAUUCAAACGUAUAGCCAACUCCUGUAGGGAAAAGGUUCGCAAGGCUAAAGCGCAAAAUGAGCUCAGACUUGCCAGGGACAUAAAAAACAACAAAAAAGGUUUUUUUGCUUAUGUUGGUAGAAAAAGGAAGAAAAAGGAGGCGAUAGGGCCACUGCAAGGAGUAGAUGGGGUGAUGGUGACAGGGGAUAGGGAAAAGGCAGAACUGCUUAAUGCCUUCUUUGCCUCGGUCUUCUCACAAAAAGAAAGCCAUCUUCAACCUCAGCAACAUGGAAUGGACGAAGGAUUGGGGGAAAUCCAACCCCAAAUAGGGAAACAAGUUGUCCAGGAACACCUGGCCACUCUAAACGAAUUCAAGUCCCCAGGGCCAGAUCAGCUACAUCCAAGAGUAUUGAAGGAACUAGCGGAAGUUAUUUCAGAACCACUGGCAAUCAUCUUCGAGAGUUCUUGGAGAACAGGAGAAGUCCCAGCAGAUUGGAGGAGGGCGAAUGUGGUCCCUAUCUUCAAGAAGGGAAAAAAGAACGACCCAAACAAUUACCGUCCGGUCAGCCUCACAUCAAUACCAGGCAAGAUUCUGGAAAAGAUCAUUAAGGAAGUGGUCUGCAAACACUUAGAAACAAAUGCGGUCAUUGCUAAUAGUCAACACGGAUUUACCAAAAACAAGUCAUGCCAGACUAAUCUGAUCUCUUUUUUCGAUAGAGUUACGAGUUGGGUCGAUACAGGGAAUGCCGUGGAUGUAGCAUAUCUAGAUUUCAGUAAGGCCUUCGACAAAGUCCCCCACGACCUUCUGGCAAACAAACUAGUAAAAUGUGGGCUAGACAAAACUACGGUUAGGUGGAUCUGUAAUUGA